RNAcentral lists this ribosomal RNA (253 nucleotides) under uncultured bacterium. RNAcentral's name for it is "partial 16S ribosomal RNA". It matches the Rfam family "Bacterial small subunit ribosomal RNA", at positions 524 to 776 of the family's 1533-position model. The record is from RNAcentral.
UACGUAGGGUGCAAGCGUUGUCCGGAAUUAUUGGGCGUAAAGAGCUCGUAGGCGGUCUGUCGCGUCGGAUGUGAAAACCCAGGGCUCAACCCUGGGCCUGCAUUCGAUACGGGCAGACUAGAGUUCGGUAGGGGAGACUGGAAUUCCUGGUGUAGCGGUGAAAUGCGCAGAUAUCAGGAGGAACACCGGUGGCGAAGGCGGGUCUCUGGGCCGAAACUGACGCUGAGGAGCGAAAGCGUGGGGAGCAACCAGG